GUGAAGAACGUAGCGAAAUGCGAUAAGUAAUGUGAAUUGCAGAAUUCAGUGAAUCAUCGAAUCUUUGAACGCACCUUGCACCCUUUGGCAUUCCGAAGGGUAUGCUCGUUUGAGUGUCAUUGUACUCUCACACUUCCGAUCUUUGGAUUGGGAGCGGUGGACUUGGGUGUUGCUGCUUACUGUGGCUCACCUCAAAUCGAUUCGUGCACCUCUUGGUUGGACAUAGUACGGCGUGAUAAGUGUCUUCGCCGGCACCUCAGUAGAGGGUGGCUGAUCGGGAGCUCUGCUUCAAACCGUCCUCGGACAACAACUGACAACUUGACCUCAAAUCGAGUAGGACUACCCGCUGAACUUAAGCAUAUCAAUAAGCGGAGGA
RNAcentral lists this unclassified non-coding RNA (376 nucleotides) under soil metagenome. RNAcentral describes it as "partial contains 5.8S ribosomal RNA, internal transcribed spacer 2, and large subunit ribosomal RNA". The stretch from base 2 to 119 matches the Rfam family "5.8S ribosomal RNA", at positions 37 to 154 of the family's 154-position model. The record is from RNAcentral.